GUUUUCUUAUGAAGAUAGUAAACUCAGAGUACCUCCUCCACACUAAGGUCACAUCAGCCUUCUAAUCCCAGACCUCUGAAUCACUGCCUACAUCUCAGAUUUGUUCAGUGAUCUAAAUAGCUAGCUAGUUACAUUCAUUAAAAAUGCCAACAAGUGUGGAUGAGACCAAUGCAGCUGUACAUGUUGUUGUAAGUCCACAUACAGAAA
Sander lucioperca (pikeperch) is the source of this 207-nucleotide long non-coding RNA. RefSeq lists it as uncharacterized. NCBI's taxonomy places the organism in Eukaryota, Metazoa, Chordata, Actinopteri, Perciformes, Percidae. The transcript has 2 exons. The record is from RefSeq and is a predicted model, not a curated record.